Acinonyx jubatus (cheetah) is the source of this 885-nucleotide long non-coding RNA. RefSeq lists it as uncharacterized. NCBI's taxonomy places the organism in Eukaryota, Metazoa, Chordata, Mammalia, Carnivora, Felidae. The record is from RefSeq and is a predicted model, not a curated record. The transcript is spliced from 2 exons.
AAUGGGGGUUGAGAGGAGCAGUGAGAGGUGAAAAGAGCAGCCAGAUCUUUGUUUUCUCAGCUUUCCUGAGCUGUCAUUCACAGGCAACAUUGUAUCCUUUGAAGCCUGUGGGACGAGAUGGUUUGAUACACUUGUCUGUUGCAAAACGAUUCCCGCCAUAGUGUUAGCUGGUAUUUCCGUCCUCGGGCGGGCUCGCCAUUUCUUUUUUGUGCUGCGAACAUUUAAGACCAGUCUCCUAGCAACUUUCCAGUACAUAAUACGGUCUGAUUAACUGUAAUCACCGCGCUGUACCUCAGAUGUCUAGAACUUACACGCGCAAAUUUCUACCCUUUGACCAGCGUCUCCCCAAUUAGCAGCAGCCAGAUCUUGAAGAGGCUUGCCAAGUACCACAGGACUCUGGACUUACUUUCAUCCCGAGCACAACGAGAAAUACACAACCCAUAUACGUAGGGAAAAAAAAGACCUCACGCCACCACGUUGACUCACGGUUCGUUUCGUAAUUCGCAGCGUGGGUAGCUUACGGGUCUGGAAGCAAUGUCACCUACAGUGAGUCACAGGGCCGCAGGGCUGAGAGACGUCAAAGGUGUUAUGCCCGAGUUCCCGGGAGAGGGAUUGGCUUCCGAGGAAGAGCGACAAUGGAGGGAAGACCGGCCCGUUGCGGGCUGAACAGGGAGCGGCAUGGGGGUAACUUUCUGAGCCCCUGUUAUGUUUGGGGGGCACACUUCACACUGGAGGCACAAAGGAAAAUUCGAUGCCAGGAGGACAAAUCGGAGAAGCUCAAGGGGGAGCUAGCUAAUAUGCCAGCACAUGUCCCGAGAACUGACUGAAGUACGGGGACCUUUGGGCACCUACAGCUUGGAGGGAAAGAUGCGUUUGGGCAGGUGG